Nilaparvata lugens (brown planthopper) is the source of this 6315-nucleotide RNA transcript. It is a transcript of the gene named neurexin-4, with no coding region annotated. The transcript has 27 exons. Lineage: Eukaryota; Metazoa; Arthropoda; Insecta; Hemiptera; Delphacidae. The record is from RefSeq and is a predicted model, not a curated record.
UUUCGUAGGUGAGACUAGUAAACGAAGAGAUCCGGUUUGAACUGGUUCCCGACGUGACAAAGAACGUGACUCAUCUAACCACCCUCAAGUACGAGAACAAGGGGGCGUGGCAUACCGUAGAGCUGAACUACACCAGAGGAGAACUUGGCCUGGCUGUUGAUUUCAAACACAAAGAAGCCGAUCUCUACGGAUUGAAAUUCAAAAUGAGCAAAAAAGUUAUCAUUGGAAGUGGGAUUGGAGCCAAAGCUAGUCUUGGGCUGAUUGGAUGUAUGCGGGAAAUAAUAAUCAAUGGUGUACAGAUGGAACCGCGCUACUUAGUGCGUACUCAUCACACUGUGGGACAGGUAUCUCUGGACAACUGCCAGCUGGUUGACCCGUGCAAGCGGCCGAACGCGUGUGAACACGGCGGCAAGUGUCAGGUGAAGGAUGACCGACUCACCUGCGACUGCAAGGGCACCGGAUACAUCGGCAAGAACUGCCACUUCGCGAAAUUUCGUAAAACUUGCGAAGAACUCGCUCUGCUCGGCUACUCUAAGCCCGACGUCUACCUGAUCGACAUUGACGGAAACGGACGAUUUCCGCCCGCCCAUGUCAAGUGUGAGUUCCAGUCGCUGGAAAACUCAACGAAAACUAUCGUCGAACACAAUCUGCCCAGUCAAGUGGACGUACGCAGCCUGGCGGAAAACGACUUCAGUUUCACGAUCACCUACCGCGAGUUCACCUCAGAGAUGUUGCAAGAGUUGAUCUCUCACUCGCUCUACUGCAGUCAGUACAUAAAGUACGACUGCUACAAGGCUCCCUUGGAGCUGCAUUCGGCCACUUGGUUCAUAUCAGCUGCUCACAAUGGCACUGUUGACUACCUGGGCAACGUGAAGAGAGGGUCUUGUCCCUGUGCUGUGAACCGAACCUGUGUGAACCCAGACCUGUCAUGCAACUGCGACGUGUCGGAAGGCAAGUGGCUGUCAGACGAGGGCUUCUACAUUUCGCCGGACAGUCUGGGCGUGACGCAGAUGGUCUUCUUGCAGCAGAAGGACCUCGACGAGGACGCUCUCGGCAGGAUUACCCUGGGGCCACUCGAGUGUGUCGAAACAAACACACAGAAGUACGUGGUGACGUUCACAACGAGCCAGUCGUACAUAGAGGUGCCAGGCUGGCGGAAGGGGGACAUAGCGUUCAGUUUCCGGACGACCGGAGAGAAGGCCAUACUCCUCUACCAGCCUCCCAUCCGCCCUAAACAUCCUUCGUUCAUGGUUGCUCUUACCAGCGAUUUUGAGUUGACGUUCAACUUCACCCUGAACACGGGUGUGUCACGUGAACUGGAGAUCAAGUCACAGCGUCGCCUGAACAGCGGCGAGUGGCAGAAGAUAUGGAUCGACUACAACAGGCAUCAUGUCCGAUUCAUGAUCAACACUGACUAUCAGAUGGUCGAUCUCAAGCCACACGAGGAGUUUGGGCCCUUUGAGGGCAGUAUGUUCAUUGGCGGUGCUACUGACGACCUGUUGGUAGAGCGUUCCGUGCACCAGGGUCUGAUAGGCUGUUUUCGUGGCUUGGUGGUGAACGGCGAGAUCCUAGACAUCUACUCCUACAUGAGUGUGCACCUCUCGGAAAUCAUCAAGGACUGCAAACCCUCCUGCGACCCAAACCCCUGCAAGAACGGCGCCAAGUGCAAGGAGCUGUGGAGCACCUUCCAGUGUGUCUGCGACAACCCCUGGGCGUACAUCGGCACCUACUGCGAGACUAACGUGAACGAAAUAGGCAUGACGCUGGUGACACGCGACUCAUUCUUCAAGAAGAACUACGUGUCCAGCCUCGCUUCGCCCGCCCAGCUGGACGAGAAACACGCGUUCCGCGGUCUGCUGAACAGCGGGACAGUUCUGAUGAACCUGCGUACUUACACCGAUCACUCGCUGGUGCUACAUGCCAACGACCACCUCAACAAUUUCGUCCAGCUCUACAUUGACGGCAAGUUUGUCGUAUUCCUCUUCAACGCGGCUAAUAUCAUCAAGAAUAUUACUGUCCGCUAUCCAGGUCUGAACACUGGGAAAUCAGUGCAGAUAGCAAUUGUGCGGAAAUCUGAGGAGAUCACACUGCAUGUGAAUGAGAGAAACAGCACCAUUGCCGCCAACGUCACAUUUCUCACCGAAUAUUCCAAUAAACCCUGGCUCAAUCCUGAAAAAGAGGUGCUAGCCCCGCAGCGGCCCCCCGCUCCGCCCACGGACUACUUCCAGGUGAAUUUGGGGGGCUACGACCCCGAAAACCUGCUCAAUAUGAGAGAGGAUGCCCGCGCACUGGAUGGAUACAUCGGUUGCAUCAGGGGACUCAAAAUCGGAGACAAGUUGAUCGAUCUCCCCAACCAUAUCAACAAUUCCAACAAGGAAGAUGUGGAAGGUAUCAGAGCCGGAUGUCAUAUGAAGUGUGAUGAACUGCCCUGUAAAAACCAAGGAAUUUGCAUCGAGGACUUUCAGAAGGAAAUUAGUUCUUGCAAUUGCGAGAAAACGUCUUACUACGGCGAGUUCUGCGCUCAAGAGAAAGGAGCGGAUUUCAGCGGCGAAUCAGUGCUACAAAGGAAGUUCCCUCUAGAAGGUCCAGUGUAUCAAAUCAAAGUUCAGCUGGCGUUUUCAAGCAGUGAUGAUAGACAACGUAACGCUGCUCUACUUCUCAUACAAACCGUGCAUGCGAGAAACUACUAUUUAUUAGUGGCUCUGAGUGGUGAAGGAGAGUUGAUCUUUGAGGAGGACAGAGAUGGUGCUGUGUUUGGAGUGAGAGCGAAAGACAGGUUCUUUCUCAACGGCGCCAGGCAUUCUAUUUACUACAAGAGGACUAAUGAUACUGCUGUUCUAUUGAUCGAUAGAGAACCAGUAUUGCUGCAUCCUUUAUCUAAUAGCAACACAUUCUCUCAUGAUGAGAGCGAGGGCUCGAAUGAGCUGCACAUUGGAGGGCAUAAUACGAGUGACAGCCGCUUUAUCAACUACAAGAACUACAGUGGCUGCUUGUCCAAUGUAUUCCUGGACCUGAACCAGUACACGAUGAGACCUUUGGACGAGUACAUGCUGUUCACUAAGACCACAGAGGAGGUGAACGUCAUGAACUCAGUGGGCAUUCGCAGUGCGCAGUGCUCUUUCUUCGAAGUCACGCACAAGCCACGGCCCGGACCGCAACUCAACAACAGCAUUGGGAAGGACCAGCAGGCAUGGGUGGAAGACCCCCCCGCCAGAAUACCCUACAAGUCACAGUAUUCGGACCCCUCCACUGAGGAAGAGGGUACAGGACGAGUGUUAUUCAUAAUCGCACUGUCGGUGUUCUGCACUGUGAUACUGAGUACACUCUACCACGUCUACUGCAACCAUUUGCAGUACAAGAAGCGAAAAGAGCGCGAAACCGAGGCGGCCAUUUUGUGGCACAACGGUCAACAGGUGCAGUUCCAGGAUCCUGUCCUGGUGGGUCCUUCCCUCAAAGUCGUCCGCUCCAGGAGUGUGUGCUCGGCGACUGUACACUGGACUACAGGUCGGUCGGCCUCCUUCCAAGACCAAGUGCUUGUCGCUGCCAGAAACACCAAUGCAAAUGCCAACUCAUCACCAACUCUCCAGCUACAGCUUACCCGGUCAAAAAGUGACGAUGCCAUGAAGUCAGUGUACACGAACGGCGCUGACCUAAAGCCGCUGACUAAGGGCGAUUACAAAGCUAUGCUCAACUCUCCAGCUGUUGUCAGAUUUAGAACUCACGACCAGGACGCUCCUCCCAAAGCCAAUGGGGUCACUUUUCAAGACUCCAAUGGUUCAGAAAACGGGAGUAGGAGUGGUCUAGCUGGUAGAGAAGAUACUACUCGUCCAUUGUUAGAGAAAGUGGUAGAAGUGCCAGUGAAUGGAACAAUCAAAGAAGAAGACGAAGAAGAACUUCAGAAGGACGAGAGAACGGCGGAAGAGGGGGGGAAGGAUGUGACAAUCCAAGUGAUAGCAGAAGUAGAGGGGGAAGAAACGGAUGCUGCAACCAAAGAUGAAGAAGGAGGAGGGGUGAGAGAGGAAGCAGAGGAGAGGCUGAGCGAUAAUGAUCUCAAUUCAGUCUACAGCAGCGAUAAGCAUCAGAAUACUUUACACUACAGUAUUGAUGAGUUAGGCAGUAUUGAAUUCACCUCCGCGCCAUAUGCAUAAAUCAGUCACUAGACGAGCUUAGAAAUUCUAAAGAUUCCAAAGACAUUUCACCAGAACAAGCCUGGUUUAUGAGAAUGAAAAGCGUAGUGCCUAAAGUGUCAACUCCUUUCGUUUUGCCUGAUGGCUCUAGAACUUUUUCUAAUCCUAUAAGUUACUUAGGCGGACCUAGCCUAGGCUCUAGCAACCAGUCUAGGCUAAGCAAAGAGUCUAUUCUGUCUAUAGAUUAAUAAAUUAUUAGCAUAGUCAAUAAACUAUAUUAUUAAUAAUUAUAACUAGAUGAACACUGUGAUAAUUUUAUUGGAUUAUUUCAAUUUUACUGUACCGUUUUCAAAAGUUGAUAGGAUUCUAAAUGGAAGGUAGAAACUCAAAUAAAUGUGAAUGAAAAAUUGUGAGAGUAUGAUAUAUAUAUAUAUUUUUUAAUGGAAUACAAUGAAGGGUUGAAAAUAUAUUGUCAAUUUUAAAUGCUGACAUAGUUUUUCAAAUUGUGAUAAUGAAUUAUUCAUGAAACUAUUAAUUUAUUAUGGUAUACAAUGAGCUUAUAAAACACUGCAAAUUAUGUGUAUAGGGUAAGGUUGUAGGGCAAGUAAUAGAGUCUUUAUUCAAAUCUUCACAUAAUCUCUUUUGUGUCUUGAGAAUAAAAUACAACCACGGAACAAUCAGUUCAAUUAACUGAACCAACAAUUAGAAGAUUAUAUUAGAAUGUUAAAAUCAAGGAUCAAUCAAUCAUUUUCUGACAAUAGAUUGCUAAUAUUGUUUAGAAUAAUUAAGGGUUUUAAAACUCAUAUAAUAUUGUGUCCUAUAGUAUUAAUAUCAAUAUUCUUGAUACUUUUUAAAAUUUUAAUUUUUAAUUGAAUCAAUUUCAGUUUUAGAGAAAAUUUUCAAUUCAAUUCUCAUUUCAAAUCAUUUACAGGAGUUUCAAUGCUAAAAAUGAUACUAAUCGCAUACAUAAAAUAAAUAAACUAUUAUUAAUAUGAAAAAACUAGUAUUAAAAUGUAAGCUGAAAAUAUUUUGAAGAUUAGGGUAACAGUAGAGUCUAAAACUUUCAUAAAAAUAAAUUUUUGAACAGAAUGUUCAGGCUAUCAUUGAAUAAGCUCACAUUCAUAAAUAACUGUUUAAUAAUUAGCUAUAGAUAAUAAUUAUGACUUUGAUAAAAUAUAAUAAAAAUAUAAAUAUGACUUUGAAUUGAAAAUAUAAUAAUGACUUUGAAAAUUUUUUGAGAACAAAUUUUCGAAUAGAACAGCCUUGUAAAUUUAAAAUAAUCCAAUAGCCUAAUGUAAAAUAAUAUAGAAUAAUAAAUUAUGAACUCUAUAAGAUAAAAUAAAUUAAUCAAAUCAUUUAAUAAAAUUGUAGAAUUCAUAGUCAAAACAAUGGAUUUAAGGUAUGAAAAUGGAUGACAAAAGCAAUGGAUUUAUCAUACAGGAGAAUAUAUUUAAUUAAGCUUGCAAUUGUUGUUAGAAAGGUUAUCUUCAAUUAGUCUCUAAAAAACGAAACAAUGCCACUUUCAUAAGAGCCUACCUUAAUGGUAUAAUGUGAAUAUUUUGUAGCAAUAAAAGAAGCAGUAAUUGAAAAAAGAAUUUAGCUCUAAGUAGCCUACCUACGGUAAAAUAUAGCUGCAGUCUGUACCGUAACUUAUAGUAUUAUGUCAUAUAUUCUCAACUCCAGAAUAAGUUAGGUUCGGAAAGGCAGUAUAAUAUUAAAAACAAAUACCUUGUCUCGCACUAACUUAUCCUAACUGAAACAAUUUGACGCAUGUUUAGAACGUGAGAUCUUUAAAAUUUUCGUAAAUCAAUUUAUUUUUGAUCAAGAGUUUUUGUGAAAAAAUUAUCCUUCCAUAUUAUAGACUUUGGUCAAUCAAUAUAAGAUAAUAAAUCUAGUUUUAUCCUGAUAAAUUAGAUGUAGGUAGCCUAUUAUUUUUUAAUGUUGUUAUAAAUAAAAGUAUUUAUUCUAUUUUUGUAAAUACUCUACUGUGAAAUUGUGAGUUGAAUUAUUGAAACAGAGUUAACUCAUGCUAAGUGUUGCAUCCUAACAUUUGAACGAAAAUUGUCAAGGAAAGAUGAGAAUAGUGUUCAUGAAAUUUUACGAAAAACUAGUACCGUAAAAAUAGUUUUGAGAAUAUUAUUAGGUAUUAUUGUAGUGCUCUAUUAAAUUGAAUCAUCGUAUACUUGUA